This 497-nucleotide ribosomal RNA is filed under the name uncultured bacterium. RNAcentral describes it as "partial 16S ribosomal RNA". It matches the Rfam family "Bacterial small subunit ribosomal RNA", at positions 28 to 507 of the family's 1533-position model. The record is from RNAcentral.
GACGAACGCUGGCGGCGUGCCUAAUACAUGCAAGUUGAGCGAUGAAGCUUGGUGCUUGCACCAAUUUGAAGAGCAGCGAACGGGUGAGUAACGCGUGGGGAAUCUGCCUUUGAGCGGGGGACAACAUUUGGAAACGAAUGCUAAUACCGCAUAAUAACUUUAAACAUAAGUUUUAAGUUUGAAAGAUGCAAUUGCAUCACUCAAAGAUGAUCCCGCGUUGUAUUAGCUAGUUGGUGAGGUAAAGGCUCACCAAGGCGAUGAUACAUAGCCGACCUGAGAGGGUGAUCGGCCACAUUGGGACUGAGACACGGCCCAAACUCCUACGGGAGGCAGCAGUAGGGAAUCUUCGGCAAUGGACGAAAGUCUGACCGAGCAACGCCGCGGGAGUGAAGAAGGUUUUCGGAUCGUAAAACUCUGUUGGUAGAGAAGAACGUUGGUGAGAGUGGAAAGCUCAUCAAGUGACGGUAACUACCCAGAAAGGGACGGCUAACUACGUG